This 201-nucleotide ribosomal RNA is filed under the name uncultured bacterium. RNAcentral's name for it is "partial 16S ribosomal RNA". It matches the Rfam family "Bacterial small subunit ribosomal RNA", at positions 1300 to 1500 of the family's 1533-position model. The record is from RNAcentral.
GUAGUCUGCAACUCGACUACAUGAAGCUGGAAUCGCUAGUAAUCGCGAAUCAGCAUGUCGCGGUGAAUACGUUCCCGGGUCUUGUACACACCGCCCGUCACACCAUGGGAGUCGGUAACGCCCGAAGUCAGUGACCCAACCGAGAGGAGGGAGCUGCCGAAGGCGGGACUGGUAACUGGGGUGAAGUCGUAACAAGGUAGC